AAAAAAAAAGAGAGAGAGAGCUGAGAGUUAAAACAUCAUAUAGCUAAGCUGUAGAGCAUAAACUUUUUGUUAUUAAAAAAAAAUCUUUUGGACAGACUUGUAAAAGGUGCUGAGUUUUAUAUCAUCUUGCAUUGACUGUCAGAGGCCAUGGGGUAAGGCUAUGAAAUGUCUGAGUUAGGGAGUAGGCUUGUGGCUGGACUUGUGCUCUUAAGGGCUUUGCUGAAGUUUCGUUUUGACAAUAUAAUGGUCGGUGGUUAGUACCCUAUGUGACAAGUUCCCCAAAUACUGCCUCUGCCAUAACUCUGUGUGUCCCUCUUGCUAUGCUUCAAUGAACAAAAGUAGUUAUUAGUUAGGAAUAGCCAUGUGGGAGUUGAGGCAUUGUCAGAUGUGAAUUUAGGAGAUUUACUUGUGGGGCAGUUGCUUACAAGAGACUUGUUGUCAUCUUUAAAAGAAACUAACCCAAAAUCUGGAAAAGCACYCCACCAAGCUCCUGCAUCCAGGAUGGACAGCACAAAAAUAAGGCAGAAGGUUUGAGGAUUUCUUCCCAAGCUUAUUCAAUAUGUGGAAGGGAAUAUUUUCUUUUGAGGAAACCCCGUUCAGGUGGGCUUUGCAAGUGAUGGCUCAUCACACAAGUGCCUUGGAAUUGCAUGCAAUGCCUGCUAACUAGAAUGGGAAGCAAGUUGCACAGAGCUUGGGGUGAGCCUGUCCCUACAGAGUGUGGUGGUGGGAGCAGGUUGUAGAGCUGAGAAAGAUUUGGAGGCCUCUCACCCCUGCUGCUGCCUAGGCCAUCUGCGGUGGCUGCUCUUGCCCUGCUGCCCUGGUCCCUGCUCUGUGCUGCACCAUGGAGGUGCCUGUGUCUACCAAGGCUUGUUGUUUGAGGUAGGUCAGCUUGAAGAUGAUGUGUUGGGGAAAGUGUUUGACCAAGAAGGUGCUCCUGAACUUUCAAGCUUGAACUUGAGAGCUAGGCUCCUAGUUUUGUCACCUCAGCCACCAGGGCAUGUAAACUUGGAGCAGGGGAUGUUGCUGCAAGCCUUCAGCCCACCAGGAAACAGCAGCAGCAUACUUCCAUUGCCUUCAGGGAGGUCAGCAAUUCUCCCUGGGCCUUUCACUCAACCACUGUCCUGCUUGGUACAACUGUGCCUGCUUCGAAGUGGGGUUCCUUUGUCCAGUGUCCAAAAAGGCAUGUGGGAUUUUAAGGUUCCUGGAAGCCAUGUGRAUCAUGAGUGUGCAGUCCUUGGCUGAGUAGGUAGUGUUUUGUAAAAUYUUAGUAAUGCUGGGGUAUGUUCUGCAGUUUUGCCCUUAAUUAAUAAGGUAAGGUAUUGAUGGCAAGAAUUUAACACUUUCAGCUGAUUAUGGCAAAACCACUGUGCCUUGACUCUCUUUUUAAACCCAAUGUAAUUUCUUGCAUACUCUUCCUGUUUCCAUGCCUGUAUUCUGUGAAUCAUUUUUUUAAAUUGUAAAAACCUGCCUCUUACGUAUGCUCUGUUUUGCUCUGUAACACUUGUCUGCCUUGGUGAAGUACUCUGGGGUAAAAGGAAAUGGCUGAGCAACCUGCUUUUCUGGAGUGCUUUUGUACCUGCCUCCUAUUCCAGAGCAGGUUUUCUCUGAUUCAUUACCAUAGGCUGCGAAGCAGCAUGCAGCCUCUGUCUGACAGAUUCUGUGAUUUGUUUCCCUUGGAGUUCCAACCUGGACAUUAGGUCUUAAAAGUUUUUCUGCCUGAAAGAGGGAAUGGAGAGGAUAGCUGGAGGAGAAUGUCUUUGGAGGGUGGUGUGGGAGGAAGGUGGACCAAGACUGAACGUGUUUGUUUCCAUUAAUAAUGCACUGUGAAGCAUCACAAUAUUAAAGGAAUUGAAAAGUUUUGUCUUCACUUGAACAACUGUAAUAAAUUGUAAUGUAGGUAGUUCUCUUCUGAGCA
This 1915-nucleotide long non-coding RNA is filed under the name Apteryx rowi (Okarito brown kiwi). Its description in RNAcentral is "lncRNA (ENSARWG00000003097.1)". Lineage: Eukaryota; Metazoa; Chordata; Aves; Apterygiformes; Apterygidae. The record is from RNAcentral.